AAGUCGUAACAAGGUUUCCGUAGGUGAACCUGCGGAAGGAUCAUUAUCGAGUUUUGAACGGGUUGUAGCUGGCCUUUAAUGAGGCAUGUGCACACCUGGCUCAUCCACUCUCAACCUCUGUGCACUUUAUGUAAGAAACGGUGUAAGCCAGCUAUUUAAUAGUUGGUAACAAGCCUUUCUUAUGUUUACUACAAACGCUUCAGUUAUAGAAUGUUUACUGUGUAUAACACAAUUAUAUACAACUUUCAGCAACGGAUCUCUUGGCUCUC
Molecule: unclassified non-coding RNA, 269 nt
Filed under: Irpex laceratus
Lineage: Eukaryota; Fungi; Basidiomycota; Agaricomycetes; Polyporales; Irpicaceae
Description: Emmia lacerata partial internal transcribed spacer region
Rfam family: Eukaryotic small subunit ribosomal RNA (bases 1-46)
Source: RNAcentral